UAGGGAAUCUUCGGCAAUGGGGGGAACCCUGACCGAGCAACGCCGCGUGAGUGAAGAAGGUUUUCGGAUCGUAAAGCUCUGUUGUUAAGGAAGAACGAGUGUGAGAAUGGAAAGUUCAUGCUGUGACGGUACUUAACCAGAAAGGGACGGCUAACUACGUGCCAGCAGCCGCGGUAAUACGUAGGUCCCGAGCGUUGUCCGGAUUUAUUGGGCGUAAAGCGCGCGCAGGUGGUUUAGAAAGUCUGAUGUGAAAGCCCACGGCUAAACCGUGGAGGGUCAUUGGAAACUAAUAAACUUGAGUGCAGGAGAGAAAAGUGGAAUUCCUAGUGUAGCGGUGAAAUGCGUAGAGAUUAGGAGGAACACCGGUGGCGAAAGCGGCUUUUUGGCCUGCAACUGACACUGAGGCGCGAAAGCGUGGGGAGCAAACAGG
This 430-nucleotide ribosomal RNA is filed under the name Verrucomicrobiota bacterium. RNAcentral's name for it is "Verrucomicrobia bacterium partial 16S ribosomal RNA". It matches the Rfam family "Bacterial small subunit ribosomal RNA", at positions 355 to 776 of the family's 1533-position model. Lineage: Bacteria; Pseudomonadati; Verrucomicrobiota. The record is from RNAcentral.